Molecule: long non-coding RNA, 1182 nt
Organism: Chenopodium quinoa (quinoa)
Lineage: Eukaryota; Viridiplantae; Streptophyta; Magnoliopsida; Caryophyllales; Amaranthaceae
Exons: 4
Source: RefSeq, a predicted model, not a curated record
AAAGUUAGUUGACCCGACCCGAAUAUUUUAACAGAACGAACUUAAUCAUCAUGACUAAGUAUAUUUGAACUCAAGAAAAUAAUGACCAGAACCUGACCCAAAUAUGAGAAUCACACAAACUCGUUCUAACACAUUGAAACCCAAAUUAAUCCUGACUUGUUACUUAUUCGACCCUAAUUUUAACUCAACAUCUUGUUGAUGAAUGAAUCAAACCGAAUCGGAUCAUAAGAAUAACUCUAACUGAUUUGACUUAAUUGAUUAAAAAUGAAUUGACCUGUUUUAGACUCGAUUGGAAUAAAACCCGUAAUAAAUAUAAACAAACUGAACUGAUGACCCGGUAACUUUAAAAAACGACCCGAACCAACGUAUUAGCUCUUUGACCCCUCUAUAACCAAAUCCAUUAUUACAUAAAACCGACAAAAUGUAACCCAAAAUUGAACCGUUGACCCGAAUUGACCCCUAAAAACGAUCAAUUGAUCAUCAUUCCUCUAAAAAAAAAAAAAAAAAAAAAAAACAAACAAAAUUUACUUCUCUAGUAGAGCUGGCUAUUAGGCGGUUUAUUAAAAAAAACUCAAAAUUUUUAGCACAAAAAAUCAUUAGCCGCCAAUUUGAUUAUAAGAAAAAGAAAAAACAAAAUAAGAAAAAUCCACUAAUUUUGCCUCAAAACAAAAACCCUCGUUGCAGAAGGAUUUCCGUUCGAAAAUCCGAGAAUCCCUAAUUCUAAGAGUCGAUUAUACUCGCAAGAUCACAUGUUCAACAAAAUUUCAAGUGUAUUCACGGUGGAGGAAGCGCAGCUUUUGAAGACAAUGCCAGGAGGCAGCUUGAGUGAAAGCAGAAAAACAACAUUAAUACUCCACUAAGGAUAGGGGAGAAGAAUGAAAAAGCAAGUGAAAGUAGGACUCAUCAGGAGAUGCCUCACUACAACGGCACUAAACGCUUCGGUCGCACUAGACAAGAAAUUUGUAAAAAGGCGCGAAGGAGCAUUGUCGCAUGCUAUAAGAGUUUUUUUUUUUUUUUUUUUUUUUUUGGGGGGGGGGGGGACGAAUAUGUAUUUAUUGGUCUUUAACAAAAAGAUUAUUUCAAUUAUGUUUGUAACGGUUGCCGAAUUCUAAUAUGUUUGAAUGUAUGGGAUGCUGUGAUUAUAUCUAUUUCAGCAAUGAAAAAUGUUAUGUUUGAGAAAAA